UGAUAGCGUGGAAGCGGAGGUUGCCAUAGACGCGUUCGACAGUCUAUGGGUUAUUUCGUGGAGCGAAUGUCAAGUUCAGAGAAACUGACGACAA
Molecule: non-coding RNA, 94 nt
Filed under: uncultured Eubacterium sp.
Lineage: Bacteria; Bacillati; Bacillota; Clostridia; Eubacteriales; Eubacteriaceae
Description: S10-Clostridia ribosomal protein leader
Rfam family: S10-Clostridia ribosomal protein leader
Source: RNAcentral